Raphanus sativus (radish) is the source of this 1491-nucleotide long non-coding RNA. RefSeq lists it as uncharacterized. The record is from RefSeq and is a predicted model, not a curated record. NCBI's taxonomy places the organism in Eukaryota, Viridiplantae, Streptophyta, Magnoliopsida, Brassicales, Brassicaceae. The transcript is spliced from 3 exons.
UAGCCAACUAGAUAAGUCAGUCUCCCUCGCGUUGACACGUGUUCCGAUAAGUAAAACGAGUCGUUUCAUUUAUUCAUUACUAUCGUAGGCUUCGUCGUUUGUUUAAGAUUGGGCUUUGGAUUUGGUAAGUGUUUCCGGCCCGAUGAAAUGGAUAUGGCUCUAACCCUAAUACAUCCGCAGACGAGAAACAAAGAAGGUCGUCUCUCCUCUUCAUGCGAUGACGACCCGAUGUCGUUAAUCACAUUGAUUCGCUCCCCCGCGGCGUAAUCUAAGGUGCACGAAAAUCGAAUCUGACGGUGCCUCCAUCGUCGCCACUGAUGAAAGACUCCGAAGUCGAUCCUCGCCUCCCAAAUUCGGCGACAGUCGGAGUCGAGGAUUGGAGAAUAGCGGCGAGGAAGGGAUCAAAGAGGAUUACGAAGAAGAGAAGACGAACAAGAAAGAGGGGAGGUUUCUCCGCCGUGGAAUUUGAGAAAGAGAAGAGCAGCUUGUAAGGUUCCGAUCACAGAUUCCGAUGGGAAUCGGUACAAGGAAAAAGGGUUUGGUGAGGAGAAUGGAGUGAGCCCAAGUUUAACGGACCAUGAGCUUCCCUACCCCUAUUUCUCUAGAGCCAAUUUCCUAUGGGUUCGGUAGAACUCUUAUGCCCUUAUUUCAUAAUUCAUUUUUUAAUCAAAACCCAAAAUCCCAAAUCAAAUCCUCCUCUCUCAUCAAAACUAAACCCUAACCUCUCCUAUGGAUUAGUGAACCUUUGGGUAAAGAUUUUAAUUCUAUACAUUUCAAAUUUGGAAAAACAAGUUUUUAAAAUCGUUUUUAAUCAAAUUUUGAUGAUUUUCGUGAAAUUUUGGAAAACCCGUUUUUUGAUUUUUGAAAUAUUUUUAUCAAAUUCUAUAAAUCAAAUAAAGAAUAUUCACGUUUCCAGAUUAAUUUUGUGAUCUUUCAUUUGCCAUAUAAAUUAAAAAAAAAACCGAGCCCAUUAAAGAUUACACAAUAAGAUAUAAGAGCAUUGGAGCAAUUGUUCCUUUAGCUCGACGCUGUCGAAGAAAGAGGUGGAAGAUGAUUUCAUGGCAAUGACGGGUCACCAGCCACUGCAAUGGCCCAAGAAGCGGCCCAGAAACGUUCAGAGACAGAUUGAUUCGUAGUCAUUGUAUCCAGCUCAUUAUUUUGGUGAAGUCACGAAAGAUAUGUACGAUGUCCCAGACGCAGCCGAGAACGGAAAGAAAUUAUGCUUAUGGAUGAAAGUUGCACGGCUUUAUUUCGCUGACUUGUGGAAAAUGUUUUGAAGUUGGGAGUGUUGAUCAAACUAGAAGAUGCUUUUGAGUUUCUUUUGCUAUUCUUUUUGUUAGUUUUAGUUUGGGCUGAAAUAAGCUGUACAAAGAUAUUGGAGGAAGUUAAGCAAGGUGUUGAUGUAAUUAGAACAUACUCUUUGAUUCAGUAUGUCAGCAACGAACAGCCAAUAAUAAUAAUCAUCAAUAAAAGGAUGAACAAUUCACCAAA